RNAcentral lists this ribosomal RNA (711 nucleotides) under Salmonella enterica subsp. enterica serovar Infantis. RNAcentral describes it as "partial 23S ribosomal RNA". It matches the Rfam family "Bacterial large subunit ribosomal RNA", at positions 2232 to 2925 of the family's 2925-position model. The record is from RNAcentral. Lineage: Bacteria; Pseudomonadati; Pseudomonadota; Gammaproteobacteria; Enterobacterales; Enterobacteriaceae.
UCCGUAAUCCGGGUUGCGGACAGUGUCUGGUGGGUAGUUUGACUGGGGCGGUCUCCUCCUAAAGAGUAACGGAGGAGCACGAAGGUUGGCUAAUCCUGGUCGGACAUCAGGAGGUUAGUGCAAUGGCAUAAGCCAGCUUGACUGCGAGCGUGACGGCGCGAGCAGGUGCGAAAGCAGGUCAUAGUGAUCCGGUGGUUCUGAAUGGAAGGGCCAUCGCUCAACGGAUAAAAGGUACUCCGGGGAUAACAGGCUGAUACCGCCCAAGAGUUCAUAUCGACGGCGGUGUUUGGCACCUCGAUGUCGGCUCAUCACAUCCUGGGGCUGAAGUAGGUCCCAAGGGUAUGGCUGUUCGCCAUUUAAAGUGGUACGCGAGCUGGGUUUAGAACGUCGUGAGACAGUUCGGUCCCUAUCUGCCGUGGGCGCUGGAGAACUGAGGGGGGCUGCUCCUAGUACGAGAGGACCGGAGUGGACGCAUCACUGGUGUUCGGGUUGUCAUGCCAAUGGCACUGCCCGGUAGCUAAAUGCGGAAGAGAUAAGUGCUGAAAGCAUCUAAGCACGAAACUUGCCCCGAGAUGAGUUCUCCCUGAGACUUAGAGUCUCCUGAAGGAACGUUGAAGACGACGACGUUGAUAGGCCGGGUGUGUAAGCGCAGCGAUGCGUUGAGCUAACCGGUACUAAUGAACCGUGAGGCUUAACCUUACAACGCCGAAG